RNAcentral lists this long non-coding RNA (1282 nucleotides) under Sinocyclocheilus anshuiensis. Its description in RNAcentral is "lncRNA (ENSSANG00000025852.1)". Lineage: Eukaryota; Metazoa; Chordata; Actinopteri; Cypriniformes; Cyprinidae. The record is from RNAcentral.
UCUUAACAGCUCCCACUUUCUGUGGUGGAGCAGUUAUGUAAUAUUGUUCUUGUACACUUUCCUGUAUUUCAGUAGCCUUAUAAAUAUGCAUGCAAAUUACAGCAAAGUGCAAUAGUUACAGUACGGUGUUCAUCAGUGGUCAAAAAGGAUUUAAACAGUGAAUUUUGAAUCGAUGUCUUCUUGUAAACUCGGAUGUAGAUUUGGAUAGCAAUUAAAUUACUAUACAACCUUGGUAUUUGUCAAAAAAACAGGGCCAUUCGGUCGGGGAUUUUUAUGUGGGUGGUGGGCUGACAUUUUGGAUUUGGACCGCAAUGAAAUCACAGACCUAACCCCUGUAAAUGUUGAAAAUAGUUUACGUCCCCAUGAGAAACAAUUACUGUCCACGGCCUUUAUAGUGAUGUCUGUAAAAAUAAAUCUGCAAGGUUCCUCAGUGAUACUCAUGCAUUGGGAUAAAGAUAAAUUCCCUGUAGAGGUCUGUGUUUGUGAUCCCACAGACAUAAUAUAAAUAAGUGAUUCAUUGUGAAGCGUAGAGGUUCAUUGAUUAUAACGAAACUUUGUGAGAUCAUGAUGAACUGAAAUGAGCUUUUUACAGAUUUUGAAGGGAGCUUUCUAGAAAUCCUUAAAAAUGACUUCAUAAUUAUUUGAAAUUAAUUACAAAUGAGAUGGGAAUGUUUUGUUUAUUGGUCUUUGAUAGUAACAAUCUUCAGGGCAUAGUCUUAAGUUGAACAAUGUUUGUUGAAGGUAGAAUAGCAGUAAAAAACAAAUUUUUUUUUUAAAUUUUUCUAGCAAGCUAGAUGUGUCAAGUUUAGAAUGGCAGUAAAUUUGCACCUUUUUGCAGCUUGCUUUCAGCGAAUAAUGCGCAUUAUGUGCAGCUAACACAUUAUUUUUAAUAUACUUCCCAGAUAUGACUGAGCACUGGACUACCACAGAGGUUUGCCAGUGGCUUGAUGAAGUGUCACUGGGACACGCGAAACCAGCAUUCAUCGAAUGAAGUAGAUGGUCCAACGCUAUUAAAAAUGACUGAAAGAAUGAGUGAACGUCUCUUCCCAAAAAUCAAAGAACAGAUACAAUUUAUGUCUGCAUUGGAAGACCUGAAAUCCCACCGUGACCUCACUGAACAUGUAAUAUCACAGACCACUCCAGUGGUUCUGCACUCCAAUACUGAAGUACGGUAUCCUACAUUUCUAAUGAGUGCCCUUGAAAAGCAGGACCCGCAGCUGAAGUCUCCUACUAAGAAUAAAUAAAAAAAUGCAUUAACUCAAGCCCUAUUUGACCAUCUUAG